RNAcentral lists this ribosomal RNA (489 nucleotides) under uncultured bacterium. RNAcentral's name for it is "partial 16S ribosomal RNA". It matches the Rfam family "Bacterial small subunit ribosomal RNA", at positions 30 to 507 of the family's 1533-position model. The record is from RNAcentral.
UUGAACGCUGGCGGCAGGCUUCACACAUGCAAGUCGAACGGUAACAUAAAGGAGCUUGCUUCUUUGAUGACGAGUGGCGGACGGGUGAGUAAUGCUUGGGAAUCUAGCUUAUGGAGGGGGAUAACUACGGGAAACUGUAGCUAAUACCGCGUAGAAUCGGGAGAUGAAAGUGUGGGACCUUCGGGCCACAUGCCAUAGGAUGAGCCCAAGUGGGAUUAGGUAGUUGGUGAGGUAAAGGCUCACCAAGCCGACGAUCUCUAGCUGGUCUGAGAGGAUGACCAGCCACACUGGGACUGAGACACGGCCCAGACUCCUACGGGAGGCAGCAGUGGGGAAUAUUGCGCAAUGGGGGCAACCCUGACGCAGCCAUGCCGCGUGAAUGAAGAAGGCCUUCGGGUUGUAAAGUUCUUUCGGUAGCGAGGAAGGCAUUUAGUUUAAUAGACUAGGUGAUUGACGUUAACUACAGAAGAAGCACCGGCUAACUCCGUG